Molecule: non-coding RNA, 549 nt
Organism: Paramuricea clavata
Lineage: Eukaryota; Metazoa; Cnidaria; Anthozoa; Malacalcyonacea; Plexauridae
Source: the annotation of a GenBank genome assembly
GGAAAGAGGGCUACCAUACACGUUGAAAUCACCAAAUAAACAGCUUAUGCACACAUUUCUCCACUUCGUCGUAAGUUUACAGAGCAGAUUUUAUACCUUGGCACUGGUCUUCGUCUUUGAUAUGAACAGUUAUGCCCCUAGUUUAAGGUUAUUUAAGAUUCAUCCUGUCGUAAGUCUUCUAUACUAGCAACCAAUCGAUAAUAUUUCACUUUAGCGUUGUCUUUGCCGUUACGUUGGCUUCGCAUUACUUUUGUUUUAAAUACCUUGAUCGCGUUAAAUUAGUUAUUUUUCAGGCCAGUGAUAUAGCCAAAAGACUUAGCAUUAACGUCCUUGUGAUUUUACAGAGAUAUCGCUAGAACUGAGGAUUUUAGAAGGCGUUAUCUGUACCUUCCCAAAGUUGUAGACAAGAUAUGUUGUUUACGUGCAACACGCAUAAGAUUACAUAACUCAUAAUAAUUCGGGCAAAACCGGUAUUUUGUUAAAAGGAAGACUGGUUAAUAGAAAUAGUUCGUUUUGAGUGAUAUAAUCGUGUGGCGUCAUCGAUCCGUG